RNAcentral lists this long non-coding RNA (667 nucleotides) under Marmota monax (woodchuck). Lineage: Eukaryota; Metazoa; Chordata; Mammalia; Rodentia; Sciuridae. The record is from RNAcentral.
GGUCAUUCUGUCUUUGUCCCAGCCACAGGGCCCUGGACACGGAGCCCGCUGCCCUUGUUUCCUGAGCUGCUCAUUAGAGACCAGCUGGGCCUGGCGCGGGCAGCCGGGGCCAUUUGCUGGGACUUCUGGGGCGGGGCCUGGCUGUGGGCACAGGGUCCCUGAUGAGGGACAGAGGGCAGCCGGGAGGCCGGAGGCCCCAGGGGCAGGAUAGAAGCAGCCCAGGACCUUGAGAGCUCAUCCGCCCAGAGGCCCAGCGUCCUGGCCCCGUGCCCAGGGUGGCCACGGCUCUGUAAGCCACUAGGUGUGAGUACCCAGCACAGCACCCGGGACUCGGAGGGAGCUCGCGUGGGCUGCUGGGUCCGAUGGGAUGGUCCUUGGUCACUAUUGAAACAGCAUGGCCUGCUUUGGAGGCCGCACACCUGGUCCUGAACCUGUCCUCGCCUCGUCCCUGCUGUGCGACCUUGAGCCUGUCUGUGUGACCUUCAGCCUGUGGAGUGCCCUCUCGGAGCCCCGAUUCCUCACCUGUAACAGGGCAGUCACAGUCAUUUGAACCCCAACGUCCUGCCCCAAGAGCGGCAGAGACAGCAGGGACACGCCAGGGGCUCAGGCGGCAGCAGGUCCUGGGCUGGGGUACAGCUCAGUAGCACUUGCCUAGCACGUGGCCACG